ACAUUGGACUACAUAUAUUAC
RNAcentral lists this microRNA (21 nucleotides) under Raphanus sativus (radish). RNAcentral's name for it is "rsa-miRn4". The record is from RNAcentral. Lineage: Eukaryota; Viridiplantae; Streptophyta; Magnoliopsida; Brassicales; Brassicaceae.